RNAcentral lists this unclassified non-coding RNA (21 nucleotides) under Mus musculus (house mouse). RNAcentral describes it as "oocyte_clustered_small_RNA7654". The record is from RNAcentral. Lineage: Eukaryota; Metazoa; Chordata; Mammalia; Rodentia; Muridae.
UCCUACUCACAAGGGGCCUUU